GCCGAAGUGGUGGAAUGGCAGACACGGUAGACUCAAAAUCUACUGCCUUCACGGGCGUGCCGGUUCAAGUCCGGCCUUCGGUACCA
This 86-nucleotide transfer RNA is filed under the name Evansella sp. LMS18. RNAcentral describes it as "tRNA-Leu". It matches the Rfam family "tRNA". From Rfam's summary of the family: Transfer RNA (tRNA) molecules are approximately 80 nucleotides in length. Their secondary structure includes four short double-helical elements and three loops (D, anti-codon, and T loops). The record is from RNAcentral. Lineage: Bacteria; Bacillati; Bacillota; Bacilli; Caryophanales; Bacillaceae.